UAGGGCGUAGCCAAGUGGUAAGGCAAUGGGUUUUGGUCCCAUGAUUCGCAGGUUCAAAUCCUGCCGCCCUAGCCA
RNAcentral lists this transfer RNA (75 nucleotides) under Iocasia frigidifontis. Its description in RNAcentral is "Halanaerobiaceae bacterium NS-1 tRNA-Gln". It matches the Rfam family "tRNA". Rfam says of the family: Transfer RNA (tRNA) molecules are approximately 80 nucleotides in length. Their secondary structure includes four short double-helical elements and three loops (D, anti-codon, and T loops). The record is from RNAcentral. Lineage: Bacteria; Bacillati; Bacillota; Clostridia; Halanaerobiales; Halanaerobiaceae.